Molecule: long non-coding RNA, 537 nt
Organism: Solenopsis invicta (red fire ant)
Lineage: Eukaryota; Metazoa; Arthropoda; Insecta; Hymenoptera; Formicidae
Exons: 3
Source: RefSeq, a predicted model, not a curated record
UGAUAUCUGUACAGUUUAUAUUUGUGGUAGUAAAUAACUUAAAGCCAAACGAAAUUGUAAGUGUAGUGACCUUUUGGUCUUCCCAUGAAAUCGACAGAUACUAAGAGUAGUAUAACAUCAGCAGUCGAGCGGUGCACUCGAAAAUUUUAACGCAGCAUUCUAAAAUCAUUCCGAGCGGCAAUAAAACAGCUGCUCAUAUUGUCGCCGGUAUAUUUACCAAAGAUAAGUUGAAAGAAAAAUCAUUACGAGCUUCAAAAUUUCGGAUCUCGGGGCACAGCAGAGGACUCAAGAGGCAAGAGCACAUUGACGACAAGUUCAAACUAAAAAUUUGGAGGCUGCAACUGAUUUGGAAGACUUACUAUAUGGCCCUAGAAUAGACGAAUCCAUGUUCACUUAAUAUAGACUUCACCGUGGAACUUGUUUUGAACUUUAAAACAAUGGGCAUCAAUGGACUGCAAACAAUCACGCCUCUAAUCUGAUGGAAUAAGACGUAAACAGGCUCUCUUCCACGUGUUAUAUUAUUUGCUUCGUAUCGAU